CCCUUAGAUGUUCUGGGCCGCACGCGCGCUACACUGAUCGAGUCAGCGAGCAUGUCCUUCGCCGGUAGGUGCGGGGAAUCUUGUGAAACUCGGUCGUGCUGGGGAUAGAUCUUUGCAAUUCUUGAUCUUGAACGAGGAAUUCCUAGUAAGCGCGAGUCAGCAGCUCGCGUUGAUUACGUCCCUGCCCUUUGUACACACCGCCCGUCGCUACUACCGAUUGAAUGGUCCGGUGAAAUUCUCGGACGCGGACUUGCGAUGUUAAUUCGGAGCUUGACUGUGAAAGUUAAUUAAACCUUACCAUUUAGAGGAAGGUGAANUCGUAACA
Molecule: ribosomal RNA, 325 nt
Filed under: uncultured eukaryote
Lineage: Eukaryota
Description: partial 18S ribosomal RNA
Rfam family: Eukaryotic small subunit ribosomal RNA
Source: RNAcentral